Cinara cedri is the source of this 2594-nucleotide non-coding RNA. The record is from the annotation of a GenBank genome assembly. NCBI's taxonomy places the organism in Eukaryota, Metazoa, Arthropoda, Insecta, Hemiptera, Aphididae.
GGUACGUUAAAAAAACAUCUUAUCAUUGUAAAUGAUAUACUUAAAAUUUAGAUAUUUAUUUUAAAUCUUUCUAAAUACACUUUCCAGUACAUUUACUUUGUUACGACUUGUCUUAUUUUUAAUAAGAAUGACGGGCAAUAUGUACAUAUUUUAGAUUUAAAUAAAUAAAUAAAUUUACUAUUAAAUCCAAAUUUCAUUUCAAUUUUCAUUUAAAAUCCAUAAAUAUUUAAUUUAAUGUAUUCAUUUAAAACUUAUUUAUAAACUAAGUACAUCUUGACUUAACAUAAAUUAUUAAAUUAAUUUUUAAAUAUAUUCAUGACAGCGAUAUAUAAAUUAAAAAAUAAGUAAAAUUAAUCGUGGAUUAUCAAUUACUCAACAGGUUCCUCUAAUAAGACUAAAAUACCGCCAAAUUUUUUAAAUUUAAGUAUAACUAUUAAUUUUUAAGUAAUUAAUAUUUAUAUUUUUAUAAUAGGGUAUCUAAUCCUAGUUUAAACUAAAAUUUAAUAGAAUAAAAUAAUUAUAAAUUUAAUUUCACCUUACAAAAAAAUUAUUUAAUUAACAUUAUUUUAUAAUAUUAACCUAGGGAUCCUAUACAUCCAGUAUUAAACGGGAUUGACCUAUAUUUGAAAUAAGCGUCCCGGUAUCCCGGUCAAAAAUUCUAAAUAACACUUUUGCCCCGUAUUUUGAAUCCAUAAGUCCCUAAAUUUUCCUUAUUUCUUAAAUUUUAUAAUUCAAAUUUGCAUGUUAUCAUGAGAUUAGGUAGAUUAGGUUAAUUAUCACUGUAGAAGUGUAGACAAAUUAUAUUCACUUAUUAAUAUGUUAGUUUGACUUCAAUAUUAUUUUUUCUUAAACUUUUGGUUUUGAAUGGAUAACUUUUGAAUUACGUACUUGUUUUGAGGGCUUCAUCCUUACCAUCACCCCUCCCACCACAUAGUUUGUUGCAAUAUAUGUACAUUUUAAGUAAGAUUUAAAAUGUUCCGAAUUUAUAAUAAAUAAAUCUAGGAUCCUUAUAUUAUUAUUUAUUUAUUUAUUUUAUUUAUACAAUAUGUUUAACCGCAACUGCUGGCACAAUAUUUUGUUUAUAUUAAAAUUAAUAAUUAAAUCUAAUUUCCUUUAAUAUUUAAUACUAACAAUUAAUUAUAUUUAUUAAAUAAAAUUAAUUAUUAUAUAUUAAAAAAUGAAUAAUUGGUUAUUGACUAAAUAAUUAAUUCAUAUAAAACAAAUUACAAUAAUACAUAGAACAUAAUACAUCUAAAUAAAUUUUAUUUUAUGCCAUUAAUUAUUAUUUAAAAUAAAAUGCCUGAAAAAAGGAUUACCUUGAUAGAGUAAAUCAUGUAUUCUCUAUAAAUACUUUUAUUAUAUAUUUAGAAUUAAACUGUCUUAAAUUUUAAUGCAAUAACAAUUAAAUAUAUAAUUUACAAAUAAAAUUAUUUUUUCUAAUAAAUUUAAAUUUAACAAAAAUUACAUUUAUAAUAAUAUUAAUUUUUAUGACUUUAAUAUUAAUUCCAUCAACAAAUUGAAUUUCAUUAUGAAAAGGUUUAGAAUUAAAUUUAUUCACCUUUUUACUAAUUUUAAAUUUUAAAUCAUCAAUUUAUUCUAUUGAAUUUUCAAUAAAAUACUAUUCAAUAAACUUUUGCUUUUAUUUUAUUAUUAAUUAUAUUAAUUAAUAAAUCAAUAGAAUUUUUUUAUUAAUUAAACUUAGUUUAAUGCCAUUUGCAUAUUAUUUAUAACAAUAAUAAUUAAUGAAAAUGUAUGAAUAAAUAAAUUUAUUAUUUAUUUCAUUUUAAUUUGUUUAUUUAAAUUAAAUAAACAUAUUAAUAUUAAUUUUCUUUCUAUUAUUCAAUUUCAAUUUAUUUAAUAAAUUAUUUUUUCAAAAUAAAAAAAAUAUAAUUUUAAUUUAAUUAUAUUCAUUAAUCUAAAAGAAAUUAUUUUUUAAUUUUAUUAUUUAUUAAAAAAGAUUUUAAAUCUUAGAUAAUAUCAUUAAAUUUGCAUUUAGUAUCAUAAUUGAAUAUAAAGUUAAUUUUAUAAAAAUAUAUUAUAAAUUUACAAUUUACAACCUUUUAUCAGUAAUUUUAUCAAUUCAUUCAUAAAAUUAAUUUUUUCAACCAAUCAUAAAGAUAUUGGAACUUUACACUUUAUCUUCAGGUAUGAUCUGGAAUAAUAGGAGCUUUACUCAGAAUAUUAAUUAGACUUGGAUUAAAUCAAAUUAAUAAUAAUUAUUUAUACAAUGUAAUUGUAUAAUUCAUACUUUUAUUAUAAUAUUUUUUAUAACAAUACCUAUUGUAAUUGGAGGUUUUGCAAAUUGAUUAAUUAAUUCCAUUAAUAAUAGGAUCUUCUGAUAUAUAAUUUCUUUAAUUAGAAAAUAUUAGAUUUUGAUUAUUUCCACAAUUAUUAAUAAUAAUUAAUAUUAAUUAAUAAUCUAUAGAUUUAUAAUUAAUAAUAGAAUAGAAACAGUAUGAAAAAUGUAUCUUCCAUUAUCAAAUAAUAUUGCAUAUAAUAAUAUUUCAGUAGAUUUAACUAUUUUUUCUUUACAUUUAGUAGGUAUUUCAUCAAUUUUAGGAGCAAUUAAUUUUAUUUGUACAGUUUUAAAUAUA